Molecule: long non-coding RNA, 1635 nt
Organism: Solea senegalensis (Senegalese sole)
Lineage: Eukaryota; Metazoa; Chordata; Actinopteri; Pleuronectiformes; Soleidae
Exons: 3
Source: RefSeq, a predicted model, not a curated record
CACUGACGCAUGAAGAGCAGGCGAGACCUCCUCUCUUUCGCACUGUGGACCGGGACCAAAAGCAUGUUGUUGUUGGAGGUGUGAGGACUCUGCAACACACGGCGUAAACAUCACUGCAGGUGUUGUUGUUUUUUUAUUAACAACUUCAUUCAUACCUGAUUUUCAAGUACUCAUAAAUCAACUCUUGCGUGAACGAAAGCUUGCGUCACAGUGUAGUGAACUAAUAGACACACACCUCAAUUAUAGUCGCCGUUCAAAUGGUUUUUAAAGCUCCUUUCACUCAUCUGAUUGUAGUUUUGUAGACAAACACUUUUACUUUUCAGUUAAUGAAAGGUUCUUCUAACCUGUACUUUUCUGCCAGUGGCUUAUACACAAUAACGCUCUUUAUGAACAGAUUUCUCAGCACCAGAGGCAGCAAAGCAGCAGUUUACAGAGUGGUCUUUACCUCAAGGGCUUCAUUUCCAAAACAGCUAUAAUGUCCCCUGAAUAUAAACCCUCAUCUCCACCAUAGAGAUGAAGUUUUCUGCCACUUUUGUAAGACAUAACUCAGUGUGGAUGUAGGUUUCGGUGGUUAUCUUUUUUUUUUAAAUUGUAACCUUGUGAGAUAGUGAGGCGAGUGUGACACUGUAAGAAACGGUUUGUGCUCUCUGAGUGUUUUCUCUCGUUGGUCUUGUUGUUCUCCUUGGCCUUCAACUAAAAAUAACUACUUUGUUAUUUUGGUGUGUGCUGUGUCUGAUUCUUCUUGAGAAAUUCUCAAAUUCUUGAGAAAUUUCCAAUUCGCUGAAACAAGGUUUUUUUUUCAAGGUCUUUGGCAAUUGCAGUGUUGCCUUUUAGUAUUGUUACACAAGUGUUUUUUUUCCCCCUUAUCCUUUUGUCCAGUAACCUUGAACAUUUUGAAUAAAAAUAUUCUGGUUGUACCAAUGUUCGAUUCUGAUGGUAAUCUGGAUUAUGUGCUGGAUUUUCAGGACUGGCAAAUAACUCAAAACGUAGGAUAUGAGGAGGCAGACUGGGAUAUAUAAACACUUUAGAACUCUAAUGUAAAUCAGCAGCUAUUUUGGCUUUCUUUUGAAUUCUUUAAAAAGAUGCAGUGAGAAAGAAUGAUUGACAUCUUAAUGGAGGACUCUGCUUUUCCCCCAAAAAGGAAAUCACAAGAUAUUAAUUUUUAUAAACAAAUAUACACACAUUCACGUUUACUUGUCUGUAUGUUUUCAAUAAACUAAAGUGAGGAUAAUUCUGAAUAUGAAUAAAUAUUACAAACUGUUAUGCAACACCAAAUUCACUUUUUUUGUAAAUAUAUUAAAUAUUCAUUUAUUUAAUUCUACACCAAGCACUUGCAGGAUAUUUUGUGAAUGAUAAGUGCUGAGUUCACCAAUUGUUUUCAGUAGCUUUCAUAAAUAUUAGGAGGUUGAGUUGUUUUCUUUGAUGUUUGACUGUUGACUCUCAGCAGAAUUAUUCAAAAACUACUGAUCUGAUUACAAUGAGGCACAGAAUAUGGAAGAGCCACGUUUCAAACCCAGUGAGAUGAUUUGUGAGCGGCUGCUUUGACGCCUCAGAUGUACAGUAGUACUUUCAGGCUGCGUGUCCCACCUGUCCAAACAGCAUUUUGAGGUGCAGUUUAGCCGUUGAAAGUUUGGC